Long non-coding RNA from Phalaenopsis equestris, 1030 nucleotides. RefSeq lists it as uncharacterized. The record is from RefSeq and is a predicted model, not a curated record. NCBI's taxonomy places the organism in Eukaryota, Viridiplantae, Streptophyta, Magnoliopsida, Asparagales, Orchidaceae. The transcript is spliced from 3 exons.
CUUAGGAAGAAACAGAGAAAAUUCAGGAGGGAGCAGCGGCAAUUUAAUUUUCUUCCGGUAAGCUUUUAGCAGAAGGAAACCCAAAGACGGAGAGAAAAACCACCGCCUUCUCCUCACCGUAAGCCAAAUCAAGAAGAAGGAGAAACGGAAAGCCUUACAAGCGAUUCUAUUCCUCUGCUUUUAACCGACGCAAAAGGAAGCCUCCGCCUUCACCUUUUCUCUCUUCUUCUGCGAAGCUUUAAAUCAGAUGGCGGGACCUUGCACCGUUUCGCGAAUCAACAGGGAGGCGGGAGCAGGCGGGAGAUGCUUGCCGGAGCAGUUAAUUCCCCAUUUCCUAGCCCAAAUUGAGCAUCUGCCGCUCCGUCCAACUCACAUUACCUACCGGAGAGAAAAACCCUGAUUAUUUGCUCGGAGACCAAAAUCCUUCCCUGGCUUCGUUCCCGACAAUUCCGCACCUUCGCUCCUGUCUCUAUUUUAAUACGCCCUGGUUCGGCAUCAUGUUGCCGUGGUUGGGCAGUCUAUUCCGGAAGAAGUUAUGGACACCCAAGAAUUUGAGACUCAGGAUGGCGAAGGUGCAACAGAGAUGACUGCUUUUAGGGAGCGUAUCACAUAUAUGGACGAUAAGUUUCUGGUAUUCAGGGAAGUUCGGGCAAUUGAUGUGCCACUGCGGUCUAUCGUUUUUGCUACUCAUGUUAUGCCGUCAACAUAGCUACGAGCAACAGUUCUAUAGGUGCCCACAGUGGAAACAAAUACAGGACGACUGCAGUUUUUUCAGAUGGGCAAACAACCCUUCAUAUUUGAGAUCAUCCUAAUUGGACAAUGUUGUACGGGGUUUGAAUGUAUCACAAUCGGAGAACAUCUUUUAUGGUUCGACUGUUACCCAACCGCUCGGGAUUGGUUCGUACACCAACCGAACAACGUUCCUCAUGAUAUGUUAUUUUUGCAUUUCAAAUUGAAUGUUAUAAUUAUCUUACUAGUUGUAGUUUCAAUAUGUAUUUUGGUUUUAAUUUGGUAUCUUGAACUCUAUCUU